Molecule: unclassified non-coding RNA, 377 nt
Filed under: uncultured bacterium
Lineage: Bacteria
Description: contains 16S-23S intergenic spacer region
Source: RNAcentral
UCCGGCUUUCACCGGCUGUCCCCUUAGAGUGCCCACCCGAAGUGCUGGCAACUAAGGGCAGGGGUUGCGCUCGCUGCGGGACUGAACCCAACAUCUCACGACACGAGCUGACGACAACCAUGCAGCACCUGUGCACGGACUCCGAAGAGGAACCGAUGUUUCCACCGGCUUUCCCGUGCAUGUCAAGCCCAGGUAAGGUUCUUCGCGUUGCUUCGAAUUAAACCACAUGCUCCACCGCUUGUGCGGGCCCCCGUCAAUUCCUUUGAGUUUCAGCCUUGCGGCCGUACUCCCCAGGCGGAGUGCUUAACGCGUUGGCUGCGGCACCGCGGGGGUCAAUACCCACAGCACCUAGCACUCAUCGUUUACGGCGUGGACUA